This 484-nucleotide ribosomal RNA is filed under the name uncultured bacterium. Its description in RNAcentral is "partial 16S ribosomal RNA". It matches the Rfam family "Bacterial small subunit ribosomal RNA", at positions 30 to 507 of the family's 1533-position model. The record is from RNAcentral.
AUUGAACGCUGGCGGCAGGCCUAACACAUGCAAGUCGAGCGGAUGAAGGGAGCUUGCUCCUGGAUUCAGCGGCGGACGGGUGAGUAAUGCCUAGGAAUCUGCCUGGUCGUGGGGGAUAACGUCCGGAAACGGGAGCUAAUACCGCAUACGUCCUGAGGGAGAAAGGGGGGGAUCUUCGGACCACACGCUAUCAGAUGAGCCUAGGUCGGAUUAGCUAGUUGGUGGGGUAAAGGCCUACCAAGGCGACGAUCCGUAACUGGUCUGAGAGGAUGAUCAGUCACACUGGAACUGAGACACGGUCCAGACUCCUACGGGAGGCAGCAGUGGGGAAUAUUGGACAAUGGGCGAAAGCCUGAUCCAGCCAUGCCGCGUGUGUGAAGAAGGUCUUCGGAUUGUAAAGCACUUUAAGUUGGGAGGAAGGGCAGUAAGUUAAUACCUUGCUGUUUUGACGUUACCAACAGAAUAAGCACCGGCUAACUUCGUG